This 105-nucleotide microRNA precursor is filed under the name Canis lupus familiaris (dog). Its description in RNAcentral is "mir-8834 microRNA precursor family". It matches the Rfam family "mir-8834 microRNA precursor family". RNAcentral also lists the same sequence under 1 other name. Lineage: Eukaryota; Metazoa; Chordata; Mammalia; Carnivora; Canidae. The record is from Rfam by way of RNAcentral.
AGGAGGAACAACCCCAGUGGCGGCGGCAGCUCUGGAGCCCUGGAUUCAGCCCCCGCAGGAACUCCGGAGCUCUCCGUCUGCAGGGCCUGGAGGCUCUGGGGCGGG